This is a non-coding RNA of Acanthosepion pharaonis, 100 nucleotides long. The record is from the annotation of a GenBank genome assembly. NCBI's taxonomy places the organism in Eukaryota, Metazoa, Mollusca, Cephalopoda, Sepiida, Sepiidae.
CGUUAAAACACCGGUUCCUGUACGAUCAGCGAAGUUAAGCAAUGUAGUGCAUGGUCAGUCAGUACUUAGAUGGGUGACCGCUUGGGAAUUCUUGGUGCUC